GGAAGUAAAAGUCGUAACAAGGUUUUCGUAGGUGAACCUGCAAAAGGAUCAUUG
This 54-nucleotide ribosomal RNA is filed under the name Camellia hongkongensis. RNAcentral's name for it is "partial 16S ribosomal RNA". It matches the Rfam family "Eukaryotic small subunit ribosomal RNA", at positions 1778 to 1831 of the family's 1831-position model. The record is from RNAcentral. Lineage: Eukaryota; Viridiplantae; Streptophyta; Magnoliopsida; Ericales; Theaceae.